CACGUAGGCGGAUACUUAAGUUAGGGGUGAAAUCCCAGAGCUCAACUCUGGAACUGCCUCUAAUACUGGGUAUCUCGAGUUCGAGGGAGGUGAGUGGAAUUCCGAGUGUAGAGGUGAAAUUCGUAGAUAUUCGGAGGAACACCAGUGGCGAAGGCGGCUCACUGGCUCGAUACUGACGCUGAGGUGCGAAAGCGUGGGGAGCAAACA
This 207-nucleotide ribosomal RNA is filed under the name uncultured bacterium. RNAcentral's name for it is "partial 16S ribosomal RNA". It matches the Rfam family "Bacterial small subunit ribosomal RNA", at positions 568 to 774 of the family's 1533-position model. The record is from RNAcentral.